Humulus lupulus (European hop) is the source of this 1252-nucleotide long non-coding RNA. RefSeq lists it as uncharacterized. The record is from RefSeq and is a predicted model, not a curated record. Lineage: Eukaryota; Viridiplantae; Streptophyta; Magnoliopsida; Rosales; Cannabaceae. The transcript has 4 exons.
AGAUAUUCUAUUUUUGAGCCAAAAGAAGUGGCAGUAGUAAAUCCACAACUUUAGGAGGCUAAGAAUUUUGGUCAAAUAUAAAUCUUUUGUGUUUUUGUUUUUCUUUUUAAGGAGCUCUUGUUUGCAAAAUGUGUAUCUUCAUAGGAGUACCACUAUUCAAAGAAAAUUGCUCUGUUUUCCAUCUCUGGUAUGUUCAAACGUUGAUUAUCAAAUGGUUGCAGUCACAUAUAUGCACCAUCAUAGCCAAGACGACAAAUAAACACUAAUGCGAGACAUAUAUAUGUAUGAUAUAACACUGAAGGUGUUUGUGAGAAUGCCUCACUGAAACCAUUAAAUAAUCUGAAGAUUAAUUUUCACAUUCUUCAGGCACACAAAAGAGAAACUUUGAGGGCAUUCUUCUACUAUCUUACCUAAACUUGUUUGAAGGUGGUUCUUGAAAAUAUCGCACGGGCCUUGAACAGUGGAGCUUUACCGUUCAAUAAUCUAGAAUGAUAAAAAUUCCCCCCCAUGAUGUAAGUGAAGAAUUGUCUUCUGAUUUGAAUGCAAAAGUUCUUCCAAUUUCUCUUGACCUUAAUAGUAAUUACCUUCCCUUCUCUUCUUAAUAUUCAUAUUUUUCCUUUUUCGGUCAAACAGUAACUCUUUCGUUACUGUUUUGCGUUUUAUUUUUUUAGUUCUAUAACUCUUGCUUUUAUUGAUAAUUUAAAAUUGAUACGAAUAGGAAUGCCAAUUUGGUGGGCUAUUAUCUGUCGUUGACAUUUAGAGCUUACUUGUUAUUAGUGCAGACUAAGAUCUCCGUUUUUGCAACUCUACCAAUCUUUGCUUGCCAUCCUCCAUAUUGGUGAUGUUUGAAGAAAGAAAUUAUUAUUAUUAUGUAUUUAAUUUGGGACUUAGUUUCUUUCAUAUUGCAUUGUUUUCUUGUCCAUUUUUUCUCUAAGUUUGAAUCAAUUCCUGCUUUUAGAAUAUCUUGAUGCCUAAUUAGUUGUGUGAAAGAAUGUGUUUUUAUAAAGUAUUGAUUUUGGUUAUAUAGUUUAGGUGCUUGGUUAAAUGUUUCAAUGAAAGAUAUAUGAAAUAUACUUGUCAUCAUCUGAGCUGCUUUUAAUUUUCAUAUGUCAGCUUCUUUUUCCAACUAUAUAUGCAUAUAUAUCUCUGUUCUUAGCUUUACUGCUUCAACAUGAACUCAGGUAGUAAAUAAAAACUCUAGAGUAUAUAUUUUCUUCCUUGUCAUAACUUUGGAAAUCACUUAGUUUAUAUC